CCACUACAUAUUUUGAUGGGAAUGACAAGUCCCAAGUCUAUGAUCUCCAACGAAGAGUGACUCGAUUGAGGCAGGUGAGCGGCUCCUUGGAGAUAUAUUACACUGAAUUGCAAGAGUUGUGUUACGAAAUUGACUUCCGUUGCCCAAAUCCGAUUAAGUGUCCCGCUAACAUCGACCAAUUCAACAACCUGAUCCAAGAAGAAUGAGUUUAUACCUUCCUUGAUAGACUCAAUGAUCGGCUAGAUAGCAUUCGAAGGGGAGUUAUACAGAUGAAGCAUUUCCCACUGUUGAACAAGCCUACGCCUACAUCCGACGAGAGGCUCUACAN
This 328-nucleotide long non-coding RNA is filed under the name Olea europaea subsp. europaea. Lineage: Eukaryota; Viridiplantae; Streptophyta; Magnoliopsida; Lamiales; Oleaceae. The record is from RNAcentral.